CAGAACUGUGCUGGCCAGGUGCUUGCUGGGCAUUUCAGAGAAGCCAGAGAGUGGGAGAAACACCAGUGACUGGACCUGAGCUGUAGGGAAUGGAAAAGGCCUUUGAAGGUGGAAUGGAGAAGAAAGGGCCUCCUAGGCAGGGGCUGGGCCCAGAGGAGGGAUCCACACAAGGCAACUACGUGGACUUCAAGGUUGGCUUUGCCUGGUAAAGCUCUGAUGAUGAGGAUAAUGACAAGUAAUGUCUGGGAGCUACUGUAUUCGAUGAAAACAGAACUCCACGUCUCCAAGGCUACAGGCCUCCUGAAAUGGAGAAGAGACCCCAAGCAAAGUGGUCUUUCCAGGAGACAUCAAGUGCGGUCAUCACAGUGACUCUCCUCUCAUCUCCUCCUCACAGCAUUGGACUUGCCUUUAAGAUCUCCAGUUUAGAACAGCUUCAGCUGGGGGAUGGCAAUGGGGAAUGGGAUGGAAGCCAGAAUUUGCUCUCCUAAAUCUGGCCCGAGCGAUAGAAGGCAUCUUUGGCCUGAAGAAGUGUAAUACAAAGAAAAUCCUAAUUGCUACAGCUAAGUAAUUAGAAGAUCCAACCUAUAUAUCAUAGUGUGGCCACCCCUUUAAUUAUGUGCACAGUUCGGUCGGUGACUAAUGCAUCUUCUUUCCUAGAUGAGCGUAUUUAAUAUCCUGUGAUGGCAACAAGUUUCAAGCUGAUUUAUCGUUAUUUUGUUUGGUCAGAUGAUUUUCCUGCAUUUUAAUGUGUUUUGUGGUUACAUAUUUGCUAUGAACAAACAAUGCUUUUCCCAGGUAGUACGCUCUAAAAUGCUGGCUGCACGAUUUGUUUACUAUUCUUUUAGGCCUCUGAGAAAUCAAAAAACAUUAUGUACUUAUUUUUGAGUAGCUGCACUAAAAUCUUAAACAGUCUCCUUAGAGCCCUUCUUUCUCUGGCAGUAUGUACACACGCAAUAAAAUAUUUGAAAAAUU
RNAcentral lists this long non-coding RNA (972 nucleotides) under Homo sapiens (human). Its description in RNAcentral is "HSALNT0168851". Lineage: Eukaryota; Metazoa; Chordata; Mammalia; Primates; Hominidae. The record is from RNAcentral.